This 263-nucleotide unclassified non-coding RNA is filed under the name Allomyces arbusculus. RNAcentral describes it as "partial internal transcribed spacer region". The stretch from base 1 to 46 matches the Rfam family "Eukaryotic small subunit ribosomal RNA", at positions 1786 to 1831 of the family's 1831-position model. The record is from RNAcentral. Lineage: Eukaryota; Fungi; Blastocladiomycota; Blastocladiomycetes; Blastocladiales; Blastocladiaceae.
AAGUCGUAACAAGGUUUCCGUAGGUGAACCUGCGGAAGGAUCAUUAUUAAUUCUUCUAGUCAAGCGGCUGCGCGUUUUUUUUUAAAACCGCGCGGCUGUUUUUCUUGUGAACUGGGGUUGCUGUUAAAAAAGUUUACGCUUUUUUUUCAGUAGCUCGGCUUUAAUGCUCUUGAGUUAAUUUUUUUGUUUUUGCUUUUUUUAAGCUUAACCGCUUAAGAAAAAUAAUUACAAGACAACUUUCAGCAAUGGAUCUCUUGGCUCUU